GAUCAUUAACGAGUUAGGGUCUCUCUGGCCCGACCUCCCAACCCUUUGUCUACUUGACCAUCGUUGCUUCGGCGAGCCCGUCCUCACGGACCGCCGGAGGGACCUUCACCGGCCCUCUGGUCCGCGCUCGUCGGUAGCCCAACCAUUAAAAUCUUUAACCAAACGUGCCUUAAUCUAAGUACAAUUAUUAAAUAAAAGCAAAACUUUCAACAACGGAUCUCUUGGUUCUGGCAUCGAUGAAGAACGCAGCGAAAUGCGAUAAGUAAUGCGAAUUGCAGAAUUCCAGUGAGUCAUCGAAUCUUUGAACGCACAUUGCGCCCUUUGGUAUUCCGAAGGGCAUGCCUGUUCGAGCGUCAUUAUCACCCCUCAAGCCCCUGGCUUGGUGUUGGACGGUUUGGUGGAGGCCCCCUCGGGGGCUCCUGCCCCUCCCAAAGACAAUGACGGCGGCCUCGUUGGACCCCCGGUACACUGAGUUCUUCACGGGACACGUAUCGGAUACAUGGGUUUACGGGACACGGUCUGCCUCCCCUCAGGGAGAAUCUUUCUAAGGUUGACCUCGGAUCAGGUAGGGAUACCCGCUGAACUUAAGCAUAUCA
RNAcentral lists this unclassified non-coding RNA (596 nucleotides) under Exophiala equina. RNAcentral's name for it is "sequence contains 18S rRNA gene, ITS1, 5.8S rRNA gene, ITS2, 28S rRNA gene". The stretch from base 202 to 356 matches the Rfam family "5.8S ribosomal RNA". The record is from RNAcentral. Lineage: Eukaryota; Fungi; Ascomycota; Eurotiomycetes; Chaetothyriales; Herpotrichiellaceae.